GAUGAACGCUGGCGGCGUGCCUAAUACAUGCAAGUCGAGCGAACAGACGAGGAGCUUGCUCCUCUGACGUUAGCGGCGCACGGGUGAGUAACACGUGGAUAAACUACCUAUAAGGCUGGGUUAACUUCGGGAAACCGGAGCUACUACCAGCCAAUAUUAUGAACAGCAUAGUCAAAUAGUGAACGACGGUUUUGCUGUAAAGUUACGACGGAUCCGCGCCGCAUUAGCUAGUUGGUAAGGUAACGGCUUACCACGGCAACGAUGCGUAGCCGACCUGAGAGGGUGAUCGGCCACACUGGAACUGAGACACGGUCCAGACUCCUACGGGAGGCAGCAGUAGGGAAUCUUCCGCAAUGGGCGAAAGCGUGACGGAGCAACGCCGCGUGAGUGAUGAAGGUCUUCGGAUCGUAAAACUCUGUUAUUAGGGAAGAACAAAUGUGUAAGUAACUAUGCACGUCUUGACGGUACCUAAUCAGAAAGCCACGGCUAACUACGUG
This 497-nucleotide ribosomal RNA is filed under the name uncultured bacterium. Its description in RNAcentral is "partial 16S ribosomal RNA". It matches the Rfam family "Bacterial small subunit ribosomal RNA", at positions 28 to 507 of the family's 1533-position model. The record is from RNAcentral.